UGAGGAAUAUUGGUCAAUGGGCGGAAGCCUGAACCAGCCAAGUAGCGUGCAGGAUGACGGCCCUACGGGUUGUAAACUGCUUUUAGGCGGGGGUAAAGGAGCGGACGCGUUCCGCUUUUGCAAGUACCGCCAGAAAAAGGACCGGCUAAUUCCGUGCCAGCAGCCGCGGUAAUACGGAAGGUUCGGGCGUUAUCCGGAUUUAUUGGGUUUAAAGGGAGCGUAGGCCGUUGUUUAAGCGUGUUGUGAAAUGUCCCGGCUCAACCGUGGCACUGCAGCGCGAACUGGACGACUUGAGUGCGCGGAACGUAUGCGGAAUUUGUGGUGUAGCGGUGAAAUGCUUAGAUAUCACGAAGAACUCCGAUUGCGAAGGCAGCAUACGGCAGCGCUACUGACGCUGAAGCUCGAAAGCGCGGGUAUCGAACAGGAUUAGAUACCCUGGUAGU
RNAcentral lists this ribosomal RNA (443 nucleotides) under uncultured Prevotella sp. RNAcentral describes it as "bacterial SSU rRNA". It matches the Rfam family "Bacterial small subunit ribosomal RNA", at positions 355 to 794 of the family's 1533-position model. The record is from RNAcentral. Lineage: Bacteria; Pseudomonadati; Bacteroidota; Bacteroidia; Bacteroidales; Prevotellaceae.